RNAcentral lists this ribosomal RNA (984 nucleotides) under Triticum aestivum (bread wheat). Its description in RNAcentral is "partial small subunit ribosomal RNA". Lineage: Eukaryota; Viridiplantae; Streptophyta; Magnoliopsida; Poales; Poaceae. The record is from RNAcentral.
AUGGGGAUGCUCCUGGCGCGCGUCGCCGUCGCCGUGGUUGUUCUCGCGGCGGCGGCGGCCGUUGUGGCCGUCGACGGCCAGAUGUCGCCGGCGUUCUACGACGCCACGUGCCCGGCGCUGCAGUCCGUCGUGCGCCGCGGCAUGGCGCAGGCCGUGCAGAAGGAGGCGCGCAUGGGCGCGUCCAUCCUCCGCCUCUUCUUCCACGACUGCUUCGUCAAUGGGUGCGACGCCUCCGUCUUGCUGGACGACACGGCCAACUUCACGGGGGAGAAGAACGCGGGGCCCAACGCCAACUCGUUGCGCGGAUACGAGGUCAUCGAUGCCAUCAAGGCGCAGGUCGAGGCUUCCUGCAAGGCCACCGUCUCCUGCGCCGACAUCGUCGCGCUCGCCGCCCGCGACGCCGUCAGCCUGCUCGGCGGGCCGAGCUGGACGGUGCAGCUGGGCCGGCGAGACGGGCGCUCGGCGAGCCAGAACGCGGCGAACACCAACCUACCGCCGCCGGACGCGAGGCUCGCCGACCUCCUCACCAGGUUCAGCGACAAGGGCCUGGACGCGCGCGCCCUCACCGCGCUGUCCGGGGCGCACACUGUGGGCUGGGCACGCUGCACCACCUUCCGCACGCACAUCUACAACGACACCGGCAACGCGGCCGUGGACGCCGCCUUCGCCACGCAGGUACGCGCCAAGGCCUGCCCUUCCGCCGGCGGCGACGGGAACCUCACGCCGCUCGAGCUGCGCGCCCCCGCCGCAUUCGACAACGGCUACUUCCAGGACCUCGUCGCCCGCCGCGUGCUCCUGCGCUCCGACCAGGAGCUCUACGGGAGCGGCGUCGGCAACGGCAGCACCGACGCGCUCGUGCGAGCCUACGCAGCCAACGCCACGCUCUUCGCGGUAGACUUCGCCGCCGCCAUGGUGAGGAUGGGCAACCUGGCGCUCACCGGGAAGAACGGCGAGGUCCGGCUAAACUGCCGGAGAGUGAACUGA